This 355-nucleotide long non-coding RNA is filed under the name Mustela putorius furo (domestic ferret). RNAcentral's name for it is "lncRNA (ENSMPUG00000028875.1)". Lineage: Eukaryota; Metazoa; Chordata; Mammalia; Carnivora; Mustelidae. The record is from RNAcentral.
GGGGGCUCUGCCCCAUCGUCAUGUUUGUCUUCUCUAAGAGAACCCAGGGCAAUCAUACCAGUUGCUGUCUGGGCCCAGGCCAAAGGGAAACAGAUUGUGACAUAGCCCCAAAUCACUCCUAAAACAUCCGUCCAGAUGUAACAGCUGUUACUUUUGCUCCAUUUUCAUUGGCCAACACACAUCAUGGGCGAGGCCUGGGUUUCAGUGGUGAACCCAGGGAGGGGAAAUGGGGGAAUGGGUCAGUGACUACUCACACCAUCUACCACAUGUACUCUGUACAGCACGCAAGCCUUCUAUGAUACCGAGAACGAGAGCGAGAGCCCUGGACCCCUGGCAGAAGAGUUGCCUCUUGUAA